AAAAUGAUGACCGUUACCGGUCAGGGCCUGCUGUUGCCUGAAAAAGGGUAA
Molecule: non-coding RNA, 51 nt
Filed under: unclassified sequences
Description: algC RNA
Rfam family: algC RNA
Source: RNAcentral